This 215-nucleotide ribosomal RNA is filed under the name Moneuplotes crassus. Its description in RNAcentral is "partial Eukaryotic large subunit ribosomal RNA". It matches the Rfam family "Eukaryotic large subunit ribosomal RNA", at positions 2978 to 3169 of the family's 3401-position model. The record is from RNAcentral. Lineage: Eukaryota; Ciliophora; Spirotrichea; Euplotida; Euplotidae.
ACAGGUUAGUUUUACCCUACUGAUGAAUCGCAAACUCUUGUAGCGUACGGUGUUGUCGCGAUAGUAAUAUAACUUAGUACGAGAGGAACCGUUAUCUCAGAUAAUUGGUAUUUGCGCUUGUCUGAAAAGACAGUGGCGCGAAGCUACCAUCUGUAGGAUUAUGGCUGAACGCCUCUAAGCCAGAAUCCAUGCUAGAUAAGCGACGAUUAUUUUUU